Molecule: transfer RNA, 81 nt
Filed under: Synechococcus sp. OH2
Lineage: Bacteria; Bacillati; Cyanobacteriota; Cyanophyceae; Synechococcales; Synechococcaceae
Also listed under: 54 other names
Description: tRNA-Leu
Rfam family: tRNA
About the family: Transfer RNA (tRNA) molecules are approximately 80 nucleotides in length.
Source: RNAcentral
GCGGACGUGGCGGAAUGGCAGACGCGCUAGACUUAGGAUCUAGUGCCGCAAGGCGUAAGGGUUCAAGUCCCUUCGUCCGCA